CCUACGGGGUGCUGCAGUGGGGAAUAUUGGACAAUGGGGGGAACCCUGAUCCAGCCAUGCCGCGUGUGUGAAGAAGGCCCUCGGUUUGUAAAGCACUUUCAGUGAGGAAGAACGCCUGGUGGUUAAUACCCAUCAGGAAAGACAUCACUCACAGAAGAAGCACCGGCUAACUCCGUGCCAGCAGCCGCGGUAAUACGGAGGGUGCGAGCGUUAAUCGGAAUUACUGGGCGUAAAGCGCGCGUAGGUGGCUUGAUAAGCCGGUUGUGAAAGCCCCGGGCUCAACCUGGGAACGGCAUCCGGAACUGUCAAGCUAGAGUGCAGGAGAGGAAGGUAGAAUUCCCGGUGUAGCGGUGAAAUGCGUAGAGAUCGGGAGGAAUACCAGUGGCGAAGGCGGCCUUCUGGACUGACACUGACACUGAGGUGCGAAAGCGUGGGUAGCAAACAGGAUUAGAUACCCGAGUAGUC
RNAcentral lists this ribosomal RNA (465 nucleotides) under Vreelandella stevensii. RNAcentral describes it as "partial 16S ribosomal RNA". It matches the Rfam family "Bacterial small subunit ribosomal RNA", at positions 338 to 795 of the family's 1533-position model. The record is from RNAcentral. Lineage: Bacteria; Pseudomonadati; Pseudomonadota; Gammaproteobacteria; Oceanospirillales; Halomonadaceae.